RNAcentral lists this ribosomal RNA (471 nucleotides) under uncultured bacterium. RNAcentral describes it as "bacterial SSU rRNA". It matches the Rfam family "Bacterial small subunit ribosomal RNA", at positions 28 to 497 of the family's 1533-position model. The record is from RNAcentral.
GAUGAACGCUGGCGGCGUGCUUAACACAUGCAAGUCGAACGAAGCACUUUAUUUGAUUUCCCUCGGGAUUGAUUAUUUUGUGACUGAGUGGCGGACGGGUGAGUAACGCGUGGGUAACCUGCCUUGUACAGGGGGAUAACAGUUGGAAACGGCUGCUAAUACCGCAUAAGCGCACGGCAUCGCAUGAUGCAGUGUGAAAAACUCCGGUGGUAUAAGAUGGACCCGCGUUGGAUUAGCUAGUUGGUGAGGUAACGGCCCACCAAGGCGACGAUCCAUAGCCGACCUGAGAGGGUGACCGGCCACAUUGGGACUGAGACACGGCCCAAACUCCUACGGGAGGCAGCAGUGGGGAAUAUUGCACAAUGGGCGAAAGCCUGAUGCAGCGACGCCGCGUGAGCGAAGAAGUAUUUCGGUAUGUAAAGCUCUAUCAGCAGGGAAGAUAAUGACGGUACCUGACUAAGAAGCACCGGC